AAGAAAGUGACAGAGUGGUGAUGUGAUUGACUUGAAAUCAAUAUACGGGGGUUCAAUUCCUUCCUUCCUUG
This 71-nucleotide transfer RNA is filed under the name Somniosus microcephalus (Greenland sleeper shark). RNAcentral describes it as "tRNA-Ser". It matches the Rfam family "tRNA". Rfam says of the family: Transfer RNA (tRNA) molecules are approximately 80 nucleotides in length. Their secondary structure includes four short double-helical elements and three loops (D, anti-codon, and T loops). Lineage: Eukaryota; Metazoa; Chordata; Chondrichthyes; Squaliformes; Somniosidae. The record is from RNAcentral.